GACGAACGCUGGCGGCGUGCCUAAUACAUGCAAGUAGAACGCUGAAGGAGGAGCUUGCUUCUCUGGAUGAGUUGCGAACGGGUGAGUAACGCGUAGGUAACCUGCCUGGUAGCGGGGGAUAACUAUUGGAAACGAUAGCUAAUACCGCAUAAUAGUAGAUGUUGCAUGACAUUUGCUUAAAAGGUGCAAUUGCAUCACUACCAGAUGGACCUGCGUUGUAUUAGCUAGUUGGUGAGGUAACGGCUCACCACGGCAACGAUACAUAGCCGACCUGGGAGGGGGGACGGCCCAACUGGGAACGGGAACCGGCCCCGACUCCCACGGGGAGCAGCAGGAGGGAAACUUCGGCAAUGGACGGAAGGCUUGACGGGCAACGCCGCGGGAGGGAAGGAGGGUUUCGGGUCGGAAAGCUCUGUUGUAAGAGAAGAACGAGUGGGGGAGUGGAAAGUUCACACUGUGACGGUAUCUAACCAGAAAGGGACGGCUAACUACGUG
RNAcentral lists this ribosomal RNA (495 nucleotides) under uncultured bacterium. RNAcentral describes it as "partial 16S ribosomal RNA". It matches the Rfam family "Bacterial small subunit ribosomal RNA", at positions 28 to 507 of the family's 1533-position model. The record is from RNAcentral.